GCUAUGUAAAGGAUCUCGCCAAUAUGGGCAUAUACGUUGGCAAAUGAUUUAUCCUGAGGAUUUAUGUCACCAGCGAGACCAGCGACAUAUUGCCAGCAAGACCAGCGAUAAACCACUAGCGAGACCAGCGGUUCCGAAGGACUUUGCUGUCAAAUAAUUCGCAGCUUACCGCAAGAAGAUACGCGGUAUUAUGAUCCUGCCA
Molecule: long non-coding RNA, 202 nt
Filed under: Elaeis guineensis (African oil palm)
Lineage: Eukaryota; Viridiplantae; Streptophyta; Magnoliopsida; Arecales; Arecaceae
Description: long non-coding RNA (EGUI_LNC082857)
Source: RNAcentral